AGUGAACGCUGGCGGUAGGCCUAACACAUGCAAGUCGAACGGCAGCACAGUAAGAGCUUGCUCUUACGGGUGGCGAGUGGCGGACGGGUGAGGAAUACAUCGGAAUCUACUUUUUCGUGGGGAAUAACGUAGGGAAACUUACGCUAAUACCGCAUACGACCUACGGGUGAAAGCAGGGGAUCUUCGGACCUUGCGCGAUUGAAUGAGCCGAUGUCGGAUUAGCUAGUUGGCGGGGUAAAGGCCCACCAAGGCGACGAUCCGUAGCUGGUCUGAGAGGAUGAUCAGCCACACUGGAACUGAGACACGGUCCAGACUCCUACGGGAGGCAGCAGUGGGGAAUAUUGGACAAUGGGCGCAAGCCUGGUCCAGCCAUACCGCGUGGGUGAAGAAGGCCUUCGGGUUGUAAAGCCCUUUUGUUGGGAAAGAAAAGCAGCAGGUUAAUACCCCGCUGUUCUGACGGUACCCAAAGAAUAAGCACCGGCUAACUUCGUG
RNAcentral lists this ribosomal RNA (492 nucleotides) under uncultured bacterium. RNAcentral's name for it is "partial 16S ribosomal RNA". It matches the Rfam family "Bacterial small subunit ribosomal RNA", at positions 29 to 507 of the family's 1533-position model. The record is from RNAcentral.